RNAcentral lists this ribosomal RNA (2893 nucleotides) under Pseudomonas sp. W4I3. Its description in RNAcentral is "23S ribosomal RNA". It matches the Rfam family "Bacterial large subunit ribosomal RNA". The record is from RNAcentral. Lineage: Bacteria; Pseudomonadati; Pseudomonadota; Gammaproteobacteria; Pseudomonadales; Pseudomonadaceae.
GGUCAAGUGAAGAAGCGCAUACGGUGGAUGCCUUGGCAGUCAGAGGCGAUGAAAGACGUGGUAGCCUGCGAAAAGCUUCGGGGAGUCGGCAAACAGACUUUGAUCCGGAGAUGUCUGAAUGGGGGAACCCAGCCAUCAUAAGAUGGUUACCUUACACUGAAUACAUAGGUGUAUGGAGCGAACCAGGGGAACUGAAACAUCUAAGUACCCUGAGGAAAAGAAAUCAACCGAGAUUCCCUUAGUAGUGGCGAGCGAACGGGGACUAGCCCUUAAGUGGCUUUGAGAUUAGCGGAACGCUCUGGAAAGUGCGGCCAUAGUGGGUGAUAGCCCUGUACGCGAAAAUCUCUUAGUCAUGAAAUCGAGUAGGACGGAGCACGAGAAACUUUGUCUGAAUAUGGGGGGACCAUCCUCCAAGGCUAAAUACUACUGACUGACCGAUAGUGAACUAGUACCGUGAGGGAAAGGCGAAAAGAACCCCGGAGAGGGGAGUGAAAUAGAUCCUGAAACCGUAUGCGUACAAGCAGUGGGAGCCCACUUUGUUGGGUGACUGCGUACCUUUUGUAUAAUGGGUCAGCGACUUAUUUUCAGUGGCGAGCUUAACCGAAUAGGGGAGGCGUAGCGAAAGCGAGUCUUAAUAGGGCGUCUAGUCGCUGGGAAUAGACCCGAAACCGGGCGAUCUAUCCAUGGGCAGGUUGAAGGUUGGGUAACACUAACUGGAGGACCGAACCGACUACCGUUGAAAAGUUAGCGGAUGACCUGUGGAUCGGAGUGAAAGGCUAAUCAAGCUCGGAGAUAGCUGGUUCUCCUCGAAAGCUAUUUAGGUAGCGCCUCAUGUAUCACUGUAGGGGGUUAGAGCACUGUUUCGGCUAGGGGGUCAUCCCGACUUACCAAACCGAUGCAAACUCCGAAUACCUACAAGUGCCGAGCAUGGGAGACACACGGCGGGUGCUAACGUCCGUCGUGAAAAGGGAAACAACCCAGACCGUCAGCUAAGGUCCCAAAGUUAUGGUUAAGUGGGAAACGAUGUGGGAAGGCUUAGACAGCUAGGAGGUUGGCUUAGAAGCAGCCACCCUUUAAAGAAAGCGUAAUAGCUCACUAGUCGAGUCGGCCUGCGCGGAAGAUGUAACGGGGCUCAAACCAUACACCGAAGCUACGGGUAUCACGUAAGUGAUGCGGUAGAGGAGCGUUCUGUAAGCCUGUGAAGGUGAGUUGAGAAGCUUGCUGGAGGUAUCAGAAGUGCGAAUGCUGACAUGAGUAACGACAAUGGGUGUGAAAAACACCCACGCCGAAAGACCAAGGUUUCCUGCGCAACGUUAAUCGACGCAGGGUUAGUCGGUCCCUAAGGCGAGGCUGAAAAGCGUAGUCGAUGGAAAACAGGUUAAUAUUCCUGUACUUCUGGUUAUUGCGAUGGAGGGACGGAGAAGGCUAGGCCAGCUUGGCGUUGGUUGUCCAAGUUUAAGGUGGUAGGCUGGAAUCUUAGGUAAAUCCGGGAUUCUAAGGCCGAGAGCUGAUGACGAGUCGUCUUUUAGACGACGAAGUGGUUGAUGCCAUGCUUCCAAGAAAAGCUUCUAAGCUUCAGGUAACCAGGAACCGUACCCCAAACCGACACAGGUGGUUGGGUAGAGAAUACCAAGGCGCUUGAGAGAACUCGGGUGAAGGAACUAGGCAAAAUGGCACCGUAACUUCGGGAGAAGGUGCGCCGGUGAGGGUGAAGGACUUGCUCCGUAAGCUCAUGCCGGUCGAAGAUACCAGGCCGCUGCGACUGUUUAUUAAAAACACAGCACUCUGCAAACACGAAAGUGGACGUAUAGGGUGUGACGCCUGCCCGGUGCCGGAAGGUUAAUUGAUGGGGUUAGCUAACGCGAAGCUCUUGAUCGAAGCCCCGGUAAACGGCGGCCGUAACUAUAACGGUCCUAAGGUAGCGAAAUUCCUUGUCGGGUAAGUUCCGACCUGCACGAAUGGCGUAACGAUGGCGGCGCUGUCUCCACCCGAGACUCAGUGAAAUUGAAAUCGCUGUGAAGAUGCAGUGUAUCCGCGGCUAGACGGAAAGACCCCGUGAACCUUUACUAUAGCUUUGCACUGGACUUUGAAUUUGCUUGUGUAGGAUAGGUGGGAGGCUUUGAAGCGUGGACGCCAGUCUGCGUGGAGCCAACCUUGAAAUACCACCCUGGCAACUUUGAGGUUCUAACUCAGGUCCGUUAUCCGGAUCGAGGACAGUGUAUGGUGGGUAGUUUGACUGGGGCGGUCUCCUCCUAAAGAGUAACGGAGGAGUACGAAGGUGCGCUCAGACCGGUCGGAAAUCGGUCGUAGAGUAUAAAGGCAAAAGCGCGCUUGACUGCGAGACAGACACGUCGAGCAGGUACGAAAGUAGGUCUUAGUGAUCCGGUGGUUCUGUAUGGAAGGGCCAUCGCUCAACGGAUAAAAGGUACUCCGGGGAUAACAGGCUGAUACCGCCCAAGAGUUCAUAUCGACGGCGGUGUUUGGCACCUCGAUGUCGGCUCAUCACAUCCUGGGGCUGAAGCCGGUCCCAAGGGUAUGGCUGUUCGCCAUUUAAAGUGGUACGCGAGCUGGGUUUAGAACGUCGUGAGACAGUUCGGUCCCUAUCUGCCGUGGACGUUUGAGAUUUGAGAGGGGCUGCUCCUAGUACGAGAGGACCGGAGUGGACGAACCUCUGGUGUUCCGGUUGUCACGCCAGUGGCAUUGCCGGGUAGCUAUGUUCGGAAUAGAUAACCGCUGAAAGCAUCUAAGCGGGAAACUAGCCUCAAGAUGAGAUCUCACUGGAACCUUGAGUUCCCUGAAGGGCCGUCGAAGACUACGACGUUGAUAGGUUGGGUGUGUAAGCGCUGUGAGGCGUUGAGCUAACCAAUACUAAUUGCCCGUGAGGCUUGACCAU